Molecule: ribosomal RNA, 1554 nt
Filed under: Enterobacter hormaechei subsp. oharae
Lineage: Bacteria; Pseudomonadati; Pseudomonadota; Gammaproteobacteria; Enterobacterales; Enterobacteriaceae
Description: bacterial SSU rRNA
Rfam family: Bacterial small subunit ribosomal RNA
Source: RNAcentral
UUAAAUUGAAGAGUUUGAUCAUGGCUCAGAUUGAACGCUGGCGGCAGGCCUAACACAUGCAAGUCGAACGGUAACAGGAAGCAGCUUGCUGCUUUGCUGACGAGUGGCGGACGGGUGAGUAAUGUCUGGGAAACUGCCUGAUGGAGGGGGAUAACUACUGGAAACGGUAGCUAAUACCGCAUAACGUCGCAAGACCAAAGAGGGGGACCUUCGGGCCUCUUGCCAUCGGAUGUGCCCAGAUGGGAUUAGCUAGUAGGUGGGGUAACGGCUCACCUAGGCGACGAUCCCUAGCUGGUCUGAGAGGAUGACCAGCCACACUGGAACUGAGACACGGUCCAGACUCCUACGGGAGGCAGCAGUGGGGAAUAUUGCACAAUGGGCGCAAGCCUGAUGCAGCCAUGCCGCGUGUAUGAAGAAGGCCUUCGGGUUGUAAAGUACUUUCAGCGGGGAGGAAGGUGUUGAGGUUAAUAACCUCAGCAAUUGACGUUACCCGCAGAAGAAGCACCGGCUAACUCCGUGCCAGCAGCCGCGGUAAUACGGAGGGUGCAAGCGUUAAUCGGAAUUACUGGGCGUAAAGCGCACGCAGGCGGUCUGUCAAGUCGGAUGUGAAAUCCCCGGGCUCAACCUGGGAACUGCAUUCGAAACUGGCAGGCUAGAGUCUUGUAGAGGGGGGUAGAAUUCCAGGUGUAGCGGUGAAAUGCGUAGAGAUCUGGAGGAAUACCGGUGGCGAAGGCGGCCCCCUGGACAAAGACUGACGCUCAGGUGCGAAAGCGUGGGGAGCAAACAGGAUUAGAUACCCUGGUAGUCCACGCCGUAAACGAUGUCGACUUGGAGGUUGUGCCCUUGAGGCGUGGCUUCCGGAGCUAACGCGUUAAGUCGACCGCCUGGGGAGUACGGCCGCAAGGUUAAAACUCAAAUGAAUUGACGGGGGCCCGCACAAGCGGUGGAGCAUGUGGUUUAAUUCGAUGCAACGCGAAGAACCUUACCUACUCUUGACAUCCAGAGAACUUUCCAGAGAUGGAUUGGUGCCUUCGGGAACUCUGAGACAGGUGCUGCAUGGCUGUCGUCAGCUCGUGUUGUGAAAUGUUGGGUUAAGUCCCGCAACGAGCGCAACCCUUAUCCUUUGUUGCCAGCGGUCCGGCCGGGAACUCAAAGGAGACUGCCAGUGAUAAACUGGAGGAAGGUGGGGAUGACGUCAAGUCAUCAUGGCCCUUACGAGUAGGGCUACACACGUGCUACAAUGGCGCAUACAAAGAGAAGCGACCUCGCGAGAGCAAGCGGACCUCAUAAAGUGCGUCGUAGUCCGGAUUGGAGUCUGCAACUCGACUCCAUGAAGUCGGAAUCGCUAGUAAUCGUGGAUCAGAAUGCCACGGUGAAUACGUUCCCGGGCCUUGUACACACCGCCCGUCACACCAUGGGAGUGGGUUGCAAAAGAAGUAGGUAGCUUAACCUUCGGGAGGGCGCUUACCACUUUGUGAUUCAUGACUGGGGUGAAGUCGUAACAAGGUAACCGUAGGGGAACCUGCGGUUGGAUCACCUCCUUACCUUAAAGAA